GAGGCUGAAGGAGGCUGACUGAGGCUGAAGGAGGAUGAUUGAGGCUGAAGGAGGCUGACUGAGGCUGAAGGAGGAUGAUUGAGGCUGAAGGAGGCUGACUGAGGCUGAAGGAGGAUGAUUGAGGCUGAAGGAGGCUGACUGAGGCUGAAGGAGGAUGAUUGAGGCUGAAGGAGGCUGACUGAGGCUGAAGGAGGCUGACUGAGGCUGAUUGUGAGUAAAGGAGGCUGAUUAGGGCUGAUUGAGGCUUUCUGUUCUUUUUCUUUAACUGUACUGCCAUCCUUUGUGGGCGGUGCUUAGAGUGUCUCUUCCUUUCUCUCUGAAACGUCUCAAACCAAAAUCAAUCUGCUCAGAGGUCCAGUUGUUCCUUUGAAGCUCACCAGCAUCCUCUGUCCCUGUCCUGACCUGCUCUGGUUCUGGUUCUUAGAACCCUCAGACCCAGCUGCUGGACUGGAAACCAUUAAAACCAUGAGAUGGUUCCCACCUACAUGUGACCUUCUGAGAUGUUUCCUUCAUUCUGACCUCCAACAACAAAAACCAGCCAGAGAAUCCGGAUCAGAACCAAAUCUGUGGGUCUAGAAAGAGUCCUAGAAAAGAACAGAGUAGUUGUGUUUAGAAGGUUCUGGAGUUAAAAGGUGAGACCAGAUGAAGUCAGAACCGUCCUGCAGCAGGUUCCUCCCAGCCCUCCGUCUCAACACUCGUCAGAACCAGCAUUCCCAAUCCCCUUAACUCCGACCCGUUUGGACCUGUGGCUGUUCUCUGCUCUGCUGGCGGUUCGGGCCCAGCUGUUGUUUGGGACCGCUUGAAGGAACCCGUGGUGCUUCCUGUUCUUCAGUCGGUUCUGAUGGUGCCUUCAGAACCAGAACCGAUCAGAGUUUAAUCGGACUAAAUUCUCAUCUUUCCAACAUUUGGCCCAAAACAGCCGGCUUCUGGUUAAAGCCACCUGCUCUUCAGAUUGUUCUGGAGAACAUUCCGGAGCUCCAUAAACCUGGAGAAUCCAACCCGACUCGGGAAUAUUUCAGACGGUGCCAAAGCUGUAGGCGGCGCCAUGGUUUCCUUCACCCCCCCACCCCCCUGAGCCUCCCUCAGCCGUCUCUGAUCCGAACCACAUCAGAACCGAGCCCGCCCCCAGUAGGGCCUCGGUCUCUCGCUCAGAAGACGUUUUUUUUUUUUUCUUUCCAUCCGUUUCUCACGCAGUGCUGUGAAUCGUUGAGCUGUGAUUCUGUCCUGGUUCUGUCCUGGUUCUGUGGGGUAUCUUCGCUCUCAGUGUGCCACGCCCCGGCCUGUGCGACGCUUAACAUGAUGUCUUAUCAACCAACAAGUGAUCGGGGAACAUAGAGUUCUUCUUCUAUUCUUAUUAUUCUGCUUCUUAUGAUGAAGAUGGUGACUAUUAUUACUGUAUCAUCGUCAUCAUCCGACCAUGAUUAUCCUCAUAAUCGGUUCACUUUGUUGUUUGCCAUGUAUUUUUAUUUUCAGAUUUUUAUUUUAGUUUCCUUUUUAUUAUUAAAGUGAAAUGAACUAACAGA
This is a long non-coding RNA of Cyprinodon tularosa, 1523 nucleotides long. RefSeq lists it as uncharacterized. The transcript has 2 exons. The record is from RefSeq and is a predicted model, not a curated record. NCBI's taxonomy places the organism in Eukaryota, Metazoa, Chordata, Actinopteri, Cyprinodontiformes, Cyprinodontidae.